This 65-nucleotide transfer RNA is filed under the name Cavia porcellus (domestic guinea pig). It matches the Rfam family "tRNA". From Rfam's summary of the family: Transfer RNA (tRNA) molecules are approximately 80 nucleotides in length. Their secondary structure includes four short double-helical elements and three loops (D, anti-codon, and T loops). Lineage: Eukaryota; Metazoa; Chordata; Mammalia; Rodentia; Caviidae. The record is from Rfam by way of RNAcentral.
GGGGAUUUAGCUCAUUGGCAUAAGCGCCUGCCUUGCAAGCAUGUGGUGGUUCAGUUCAAUCCCCA